This is a non-coding RNA of Plutella xylostella (diamondback moth), 1453 nucleotides long. Lineage: Eukaryota; Metazoa; Arthropoda; Insecta; Lepidoptera; Plutellidae. The record is from RefSeq and is a predicted model, not a curated record.
GUUCUGCUGCCUUACUCCCAGCGAUGAGUGGCUGAAUCGAUUUCAACAAAAUCGCUAAUAUCGUACUCCCACCGCACAUUUUUGCGGCUCAUUGUGUUAUGACGUCACGCAAACCGUUCAGUGAAAAUUAUAGCGUUACUAAGCUAGAAAUUCGCACCACGAGCUCAUCAUGAGCUCAUCACACAGAGUAGAUUAUAUGUCAAAGUUGCGACUCAACGCCUCUUUGAAAAAAGUUCCUAUUCUUGCAACGCAAAGCCAUUACAAUGGCUAAUUUUUCCUAUUUUUGUAAGAAAAAGAGCCUGUAAUUACACCUACAAAGUGAUGUGAAAGUAGUUACUGAGGAUACGUGAGGAUUGCAAACCAGUCUCCCUGGAUAUUUUAAAGCAUAUUUAAAGGAGUUGACGGACAAUUUGAUUGAAGACUUUAGCUUAAUGAAACUAGCUGAUUUGAGCGUAACAAAUAAGGUGAGUAUCCACGAACAUAAUAGAGGUACAUGUAAAAGUUUCUUCAACUAAAGGCGAUGAUCCAUUCGCGAGCAAAACCUCCAAUAACCUCUAAGUCCGCGGUCUAAAAACCUCCAACGAUGUUACAAAAAGCACGCCACGACUUUGCCAAUGAUGAAAGUAGACUGUUUGGUUCGCUAAUGGAUCACCAACGAGAUUCGACAAGCCAACAAUCUAUACCGUCGCCUCGCCAAUGGAUGACCGCCUUAACUCUCAUGUUCUUAAGGCAUGAAGAAGAAGCCUUAAAGAAAAUAUCCUUCAAAACAAAGACAAACCUUCUUUUACCAUUGUUGUAGUCCUAUGGCACCCCAGAGGUGUCAUAAAAUCUGCCACCUAUCUUUGUUUAAACCACCUAUGUUUGGUCUCGCUCCAGCUAAGUCCAGUGGCUAACAAUAUAUACCUACUAAUAAUAAUAAGAUAAACCUUCCUAUACUAUCAUAAUGUCUGUAACCUAAACCCCAUGAUACCUACUAACCAGAAUUUUUGGUAUUUGUAGGUUUUUACUGCGUUGCAACUGGCUCCAGACUGGAAUUUAUAACCAAGACUAAAUAUUCAAGUGCCUAUGUGAAGUACUUAACAACAAGUUGUAUUAAGAUCUUAUGAAGUUAAUACCUACAUAAGAAACUAAAUUGGCAUAUCAUUCUGCUACUGAAUAAUCAGAGAGCAGUUUUUUAGCUAAUAGAAGAGAAGCUUAUGCUUGAUAUUUCAGAACACUGAUAAUAAUUGUGAUGUGAUUUAAUAUAUGAUACUUAAUAAACACAAAAUACAGCAAAAACCAUGUUUCAUUUCAUUAUUUACCUGUUGAUGUUGCACUUGACUAAGAGGUCAUUCAUGAUACUAUUGCUUUAUAAAGGCUUGAUAGGAAGUAUUCCUUCUUAAGAGUCCGGCAAUGAUAACAUUGCAACAUGGAAGAAAUUGUAUAAGUAACAUUGUAAGUUGUACUUUUAAUA